RNAcentral lists this ribosomal RNA (477 nucleotides) under Carnobacterium gallinarum. RNAcentral's name for it is "bacterial SSU rRNA". It matches the Rfam family "Bacterial small subunit ribosomal RNA", at positions 29 to 484 of the family's 1533-position model. The record is from RNAcentral. Lineage: Bacteria; Bacillati; Bacillota; Bacilli; Lactobacillales; Carnobacteriaceae.
ACGAACGCUGGCGGCGUGCCUAAUACAUGCAAGUCGAACGCACGAAGUUGAAGAGCUUGCUCUUUAACCAAGUGAGUGGCGGACGGGUGAGUAACACGUGGGUAACCUGCCCAUUAGAGGGGGAUAACAUUCGGAAACGGAUGCUAAUACCGCAUAGUUUCAGGAAUCGCAUGAUUCUUGAAGGAAAGGUGGCUUCGGCUACCACUAAUGGAUGGACCCGCGGCGUAUUAGCUAGUUGGUGAGGUAAUGGCUCACCAAGGCAAUGAUACGUAGCCGACCUGAGAGGGUGAUCGGCCACACUGGGACUGAGACACGGCCCAGACUCCUACGGGAGGCAGCAGUAGGGAAUCUUCCGCAAUGGACGAAAGUCUGACGGAGCAACGCCGCGUGAGUGAAGAAGGUUUUCGGAUCGUAAAACUCUGUUGUUAAAGAAGAACAAGGAUGAGAGUAACUGCUCAUCCCCUGACGGUAUUAACC